This 275-nucleotide microRNA precursor is filed under the name Oryza glumipatula. RNAcentral describes it as "MIR821 microRNA precursor family". It matches the Rfam family "MIR821 microRNA precursor family". Lineage: Eukaryota; Viridiplantae; Streptophyta; Magnoliopsida; Poales; Poaceae. The record is from Rfam by way of RNAcentral.
GAUUUCAACUGAAAAAGUUAUCAACAACAAAGUUGAAUAACUCAUCAAGAUCUAAAACUUUUAUUUUGGUCAUUUCUUCAUCUGAUAAAGUGAUAGUAACAUUGUUCACAAAAUUGACAUAUCUCUUAUCUGGUUUUAUAAACUAUAACACAUAUAUGUAAAAUUUGUGAACAAUGUUACUAACAUUUUAUCAGAUGAAGAAAUAACCAAAAUAAAAGUUUUAGAUCUUGAUGAGUUAUUCAACUUUGUUGUUGAUAACUUUUUCAGUUGAAAUC